Molecule: small RNA, 1856 nt
Filed under: Arabidopsis thaliana (thale cress)
Lineage: Eukaryota; Viridiplantae; Streptophyta; Magnoliopsida; Brassicales; Brassicaceae
Description: ATSL249400
Source: RNAcentral
AAUUGACAAAAAAUUUACAAGACUAUUAAUUACCAUGCUUAUUUUCUUUGGAUUGGCUGAUUUUUGAGGUAUAAACUAUUUCGAUUCUCAGCUUUCACUCCCAGACUUUUGGGCCCUUAAAUUUCCACCAUCAACUUUCAUAUUCCUCAAAAUUACAUCAUCUACUUUCGAAUUCAUGCUUAAACAUACAUUUUCAAUUGAACCAUUCAUUUAACCGGGAUUAACAACAAAUCUGCGUUUACUGUACCGCGAUUGCGAUUAACCCGACUAAUACCCAGACCCAUUAAGAAAACGACGUCGUUUUCAUUUCGUUUAACUCAUCAAAAAGAGAAAGAAAACGACGUCGUUUUCAUUCUUCUUUAACUCUCAAAUCGAUUUGGUCGUUCUUCUUUAAUCUCGACACUGUGAAAUUAGGGUUCUUGAGAGAGAAAGACAAAAGGGGAUUUGGAGUUUUCUUCUUCGAUUCGAAUUAUUGGGUUUCGAUUUGGGUUUCGAAUAGGGAGAAAUGAAGAAUUGGUGGGAGGAAGGAUUGAUUUACCAAAGCGAUCCAGAUGACCCCGAUUUCGAACCUCCAGAGAGUGACAUUGAAGCCGACGAUGGAAGUGAUAGUGGUGAUAGCGGAGUCGAGGAGGACGAAGCCACCGGAGUUGAGGGAGACGACGUUGGGAUAGAUGGAGACAGAGAAUCUGAUGGAGAGGAGAAUAGAGAAGACGAUGGUGACAUAGCGUCUGAUGGAGACGUCAAUCUAGAAGACGAUGGAGACAGAGAUGAAAGUCAAAAGAAGAGGACGAGAGAAGAGAAAAGAAAGGAGGAAGAGGCUGAAGAAGGUCAAAAGAAGAAGAGAAAACAGAAGAAGGAUGAGCCGGAAGAAGAUUUGGCCGAGAGGUUUGAGUUCGAGAUAGAGGAAGCAGUAGCUAUGUGGUAUGAUGAGUUAAAGAUUAGAAGGAACGAAAUACCAGAAAGUAAUAAUGAAGAAGAAGAUCAUGUGAUCACUAGAGAUAAGAAGAUUAGGUUAGCUUCGGAUGAUAGGUUAGCUAUAGGCAGAACAUUCUUCACUGGUUUUGAAUUCAAAGAGGUUGUCUUGCAUUAUGCAAUGAAGCAUAGGAUAAAUGCUAAACAAAAUAGGUGGGAAAAGGAUAAAAUUAGCUUUAGAUGUGCUCAAAGGAAGGAGUGUGAAUGGUAUGUCUAUGCCUCAUACUCUCACGAGAGGCAAUUGUGGGUUUUGAAGACCAAAUGUCUGGAUCAUUCUUGUACUUCUAAUGGAAAAUGCAAGCUGUUGAAGAGGAAAGUGAUUGGUAGAUUGUUUAUGGAUAAGCUAAGGUUGCAGCCUAAUUUCAUGCCUCUUGACAUUCAGAGGCAUAUCAAGGAGCAAUGGAAGCUAGUUAGUACUAUUGGACAAGUGCAAGAUGGAAGACUUCUAGCUCUUAAGUGGCUGAAAGAAGAAUAUGCCCAACAGUUUGCACACCUUCGAGGCUAUGUGGCAGAAAUCUUGAGUACAAACAAAGGAUCAACUGCAAUUGUUGAUACCAUUAGGGAUGCAAACGAGAAUGAUGUCUUCAACCGGAUUUAUGUUUGUCUUGGAGCAAUGAAGAAUGUGUUUUACUUCUGUAGGCCUCUCAUUGGGAUAGAUGGAACGUUUUUGAAGCAUGCGGUUAAGGGAUGUCUGUUCACUGCUAUAGCUCAUGAUGCGAACAACCAAAUCUAUCCAGUGGCGUGGGCAACUGUUCAGUCUAAGAAUGCAGACAAUUGGCUCUGGUUUUUGAAUCAGCUGAAGCAUGACUUGGAACUAAAGGAUGGCAGUGGCUAUGUGGUCAUAUCAGAUCGUUGCAAGGUUAGUAUUAUCUUAUGUCUAAUUG